GAACAGGUGAGAUUUGAAGAGUGUGAGGAACAAAUAAGAUGUGAGGAGUGUUAGGAACAGGUGAGAUUUGUUGAGUGUGAGGAACAGGCGAGAUUUGUAGAGUGUGAGGAACAAGUAAGAUGUGACGAGUGUGAGAAACAGGUGAGAUUUGUAGAGUGUGAGGAACUUGUGAGAUUUGUAGAGUGUGGGGAACAUGUGAGAUAUGUAGAGUGUGAGAAGCAGGUGAGAUGUGUAGUAUAUGAGGAGCAGGUGAGAUGUGUAGAGUGUGAGGAACAUGUGAGAUGUGUAGAUUGUGAGGAGCAGGUGAGAUGUGUAGUAUAUGAGGAACAGGUGAGAUGUGUAGAGUGUGAGGAACAUGUGAGAUAUGUAGAUUGUGAGGAACAUGUAAGAUGUGUAGUGUGAGGAAUGGGUAAGAUGUGUAGAGUGUGAGGAGCAGGUGAGAUGUGUAGAGUGUGAGGAACAGGUGAGAUGUGUAGAGUGUGAGGAACAGGUGAGAUGGGUAGAGUGUGAAGACCAGGUGAGAUGUGUAGAGUGUGAGGAACAGGUGAGAUGUGUAGAGUGUGAGGAACAGGUGAGAUGUGUAGGGUGUGAGGAACAGGUGAGAUGUGUAGAGUGUGUGGAACAGGUGAGAUGUGUAGUGUGAGGAACAUGUGAGAUGUGUUGAGUGUGAGGAACAGGUGAGAUGUGUAGAGUGUGUGAAACAUGUGAGAUGUGUCCAGUGUGUGGAACAGGUGAGAUGUGUAGAGUGUG
Long non-coding RNA from Dreissena polymorpha, 750 nucleotides. RefSeq lists it as uncharacterized. The record is from RefSeq and is a predicted model, not a curated record. Lineage: Eukaryota; Metazoa; Mollusca; Bivalvia; Myida; Dreissenidae. The transcript has 2 exons.